RNAcentral lists this transfer RNA (72 nucleotides) under Ovis aries (sheep). It matches the Rfam family "tRNA". From Rfam's summary of the family: Transfer RNA (tRNA) molecules are approximately 80 nucleotides in length. Their secondary structure includes four short double-helical elements and three loops (D, anti-codon, and T loops). Lineage: Eukaryota; Metazoa; Chordata; Mammalia; Artiodactyla; Bovidae. The record is from Rfam by way of RNAcentral.
UCCCUAGUGGCUCAGAUGGUAAAGAAUCUGCCUGCAGUGCAGGAGACCUAGGUUUGAUCCCUGGGUCGGGAA